UUGGAGGGCAAGUCUGGUGCCAGCAGCCGCGGUAAUUCCAGCUCCAAUAGCGUAUAUUAAAGUUGUUGCAGUUAAAAAGCUCGUAGUUGAAUUUCGGAAUAAGCAGGUCGGUCGUGCCACAGGUAUGUACUGGUCUUGCUGAUUCCUCCCUCUUGACGAGCCGUAAUGCCAUUAAUUUGGUGUUGCGGGGAAUCAGGACUGUUACUUUGAAAAAAUUAGAGUGUUUAAAGCAGGCUCACGCUUGAAUACAUUAGCAUGGAAUAAUGAAAUAGGACGUUCGAUCCUAUUUUGUUGGUUUCUAGGAUUGACGUAAUGAUUAAUAGGGAUAGUUGGG
Molecule: ribosomal RNA, 334 nt
Filed under: Glomus sp.
Lineage: Eukaryota; Fungi; Glomeromycota; Glomeromycetes; Glomerales; Glomeraceae
Description: SSU rRNA
Rfam family: Eukaryotic small subunit ribosomal RNA
Source: RNAcentral